Molecule: ribosomal RNA, 273 nt
Filed under: uncultured bacterium
Lineage: Bacteria
Description: partial 16S ribosomal RNA
Rfam family: Bacterial small subunit ribosomal RNA
Source: RNAcentral
AUACGUAUGUCGCAAGCGUUAUCCGGAAUUAUUGGGCGUAAAGCGAGUCUAGGCGGCUUGUUAAGUCAGAUGUGAAAAUGCGGGGCUCAACUCCGUAUUGCGUUUGAAACUGGCAGGCUAGAGUACUGGAGAGGUGGGCGGAACUACAAGUGUAGAGGUGAAAUUCGUAGAUAUUUGUAGGAAUGCCGAUAGUGAAGACAGCUCACUGGACAGAUACUGACGCUAAAGCUCGAAAGCGUGGGGAGCGAACAGGAUUAGAAACCCGAGUAGUCC